RNAcentral lists this ribosomal RNA (1542 nucleotides) under Escherichia coli. RNAcentral's name for it is "bacterial SSU rRNA". It matches the Rfam family "Bacterial small subunit ribosomal RNA". RNAcentral also lists the same sequence under 3 other names. Lineage: Bacteria; Pseudomonadati; Pseudomonadota; Gammaproteobacteria; Enterobacterales; Enterobacteriaceae. The record is from RNAcentral.
AAAUUGAAGAGUUUGAUCAUGGCUCAGAUUGAACGCUGGCGGCAGGCCUAACACAUGCAAGUCGAACGGUAACAGGAAGAAGCUUGCUUCUUUGCUGACGAGUGGCGGACGGGUGAGUAAUGUCUGGGAAACUGCCUGAUGGAGGGGGAUAACUACUGGAAACGGUAGCUAAUACCGCAUAACGUCGCAAGACCAAAGAGGGGGACCUUCGGGCCUCUUGCCAUCGGAUGUGCCCAGAUGGGAUUAGCUUGUUGGUGGGGUAACGGCUCACCAAGGCGACGAUCCCUAGCUGGUCUGAGAGGAUGACCAGCCACACUGGAACUGAGACACGGUCCAGACUCCUACGGGAGGCAGCAGUGGGGAAUAUUGCACAAUGGGCGCAAGCCUGAUGCAGCCAUGCCGCGUGUAUGAAGAAGGCCUUCGGGUUGUAAAGUACUUUCAGCGGGGAGGAAGGGAGUAAAGUUAAUACCUUUGCUCAUUGACGUUACCCGCAGAAGAAGCACCGGCUAACUCCGUGCCAGCAGCCGCGGUAAUACGGAGGGUGCAAGCGUUAAUCGGAAUUACUGGGCGUAAAGCGCACGCAGGCGGUUUGUUAAGUCAGAUGUGAAAUCCCCGGGCUCAACCUGGGAACUGCAUCUGAUACUGGCAAGCUUGAGUCUCGUAGAGGGGGGUAGAAUUCCAGGUGUAGCGGUGAAAUGCGUAGAGAUCUGGAGGAAUACCGGUGGCGAAGGCGGCCCCCUGGACGAAGACUGACGCUCAGGUGCGAAAGCGUGGGGAGCAAACAGGAUUAGAUACCCUGGUAGUCCACGCCGUAAACGAUGUCGACUUGGAGGUUGUGCCCUUGAGGCGUGGCUUCCGGAGCUAACGCGUUAAGUCGACCGCCUGGGGAGUACGGCCGCAAGGUUAAAACUCAAAUGAAUUGACGGGGGCCCGCACAAGCGGUGGAGCAUGUGGUUUAAUUCGAUGCAACGCGAAGAACCUUACCUGGUCUUGACAUCCACAGAACCUUGUAGAGAUACGAGGGUGCCUUCGGGAACUGUGAGACAGGUGCUGCAUGGCUGUCGUCAGCUCGUGUUGUGAAAUGUUGGGUUAAGUCCCGCAACGAGCGCAACCCUUAUCCUUUGUUGCCAGCGGUCCGGCCGGGAACUCAAAGGAGACUGCCAGUGAUAAACUGGAGGAAGGUGGGGAUGACGUCAAGUCAUCAUGGCCCUUACGACCAGGGCUACACACGUGCUACAAUGGCGCAUACAAAGAGAAGCGACCUCGCGAGAGCAAGCGGACCUCAUAAAGUGCGUCGUAGUCCGGAUUGGAGUCUGCAACUCGACUCCAUGAAGUCGGAAUCGCUAGUAAUCGUGGAUCAGAAUGCCACGGUGAAUACGUUCCCGGGCCUUGUACACACCGCCCGUCACACCAUGGGAGUGGGUUGCAAAAGAAGUAGGUAGCUUAACCUUCGGGAGGGCGCUUACCACUUUGUGAUUCAUGACUGGGGUGAAGUCGUAACAAGGUAACCGUAGGGGAACCUGCGGUUGGAUCACCUCCUUA